CCUACGGGGCGCAGCAGUGAGGAAUAUUGGUCAAUGGACGAGAGUCUGAACCAGCCAAGUAGCGUGAAGGAUGACUGCCCUAUGGGUUGUAAACUUCUUUUAUAAAGGAAUAAAACGAGGCACGUGUGCCUUUUUGCAUGUACUUUAUGAAUAAGGAUCGGCUAACUCCGUGCCAGCAGCCGCGGUAAUACGGAGGAUCCGAGCGUUAUCCGGAUUUAUUGGGUUUAAAGGGAGCGUAGAUGGGUUGUUAAGUCAGUUGUGAAAGUUUGCGGCUCAACCGUAAAAUUGCAAUUGAUACUGGCAGUCGUGAGUACAGUUGAGGUAGGCGGAAUUCGUGGUGUAGCGGUGAAAUGCUUAGAUAUCACGAAGAACCCCGAUUGCGAAGGCAGCUUACUAAACUGUGACUGACAUUGAUGCUCGAAAGUGUGGGUAUCAAACAGGAUUAGAUACCCGAGUAGUC
Molecule: ribosomal RNA, 460 nt
Filed under: uncultured bacterium
Lineage: Bacteria
Description: partial 16S ribosomal RNA
Rfam family: Bacterial small subunit ribosomal RNA
Source: RNAcentral